RNAcentral lists this transfer RNA (65 nucleotides) under Processina sexmaculata. RNAcentral describes it as "tRNA-His". The record is from RNAcentral. Lineage: Eukaryota; Metazoa; Arthropoda; Insecta; Hemiptera; Cicadellidae.
AUUUAAGUAGUUUAAUAUUAUAAAAUAUAGAAUUGUGAUUUCUGUGAAACUAUUUGUCUUAAGUU